AUUGAACGCUGGCGGCAGGCCUAACACAUGCAAGUCGAGCGGAUGAAGGGAGCUUGCUCCUGGAUUCAGCGGCGGACGGGUGAGUAAUGCCUAGGAAUCUGCCUGGUAGUGGGGGAUAACGUCCGGAAACGGGCGCUAAUACCGCAUACGUCCUGAGGGAGAAAGUGGGGGAUCUUCGGACCUCACGCUAUCAGAUGAGCCUAGGUCGGAUUAGCUAGUUGGUGGGGUAAAGGCCUACCAAGGCGACGAUCCGUAACUGGUCUGAGAGGAUGAUCAGUCACACUGGAACUGAGACACGGUCCAGACUCCUACGGGAGGCAGCAGUGGGGAAUAUUGGACAAUGGGCGAAAGCCUGAUCCAGCCAUGCCGCGUGUGUGAAGAAGGUCUUCGGAUGGUAAAGCACUUUAAGUUGGGAGGAAGGGCAGUAAGUUAAUACCUUGCUGUUUUGACGUUACCAACAGAAUAAGCACCGGCAAACUUCGU
Molecule: ribosomal RNA, 483 nt
Filed under: uncultured bacterium
Lineage: Bacteria
Description: partial 16S ribosomal RNA
Rfam family: Bacterial small subunit ribosomal RNA
Source: RNAcentral